RNAcentral lists this ribosomal RNA (471 nucleotides) under uncultured bacterium. RNAcentral describes it as "SSU rRNA". It matches the Rfam family "Bacterial small subunit ribosomal RNA", at positions 26 to 518 of the family's 1533-position model. The record is from RNAcentral.
AGAAUGAACGUUGGCGGCGUGGAUUAGGCAUGCAAGUCGUACGGGCCGCAAGGCCAGUGGCGCAAGGGUGAGUAAGGCGACGGUAACCAACCCCAUGACUGGGUAUAGCCGCGGGAAACUGCGGGUAAUCCCCAGCGACGUCCCGGGAGGGCAUCUUCCUGGGACCAAAGCUCCGGCGUCGUGGGACGGGCCGUCGUGGUAUUAGGUUGUUGGCGGGGUAAUGGCCCACCAAGCCUGCGAUGCCUACCGGGCGUGCGAGCGUGGCCCGGCACACUGGGACUGAGACACUGCCCAGACUCCUACGGGAGGCUGCAGUCGAGGAUCUUCGGCAAUGGGCGCAAGCCUGACCGAGCGACGCCGCGUGCGCGAUGAAGGCCUUCGGGUUGUAAAGCGCUGUCGAGGGGGAGGAAGCCCGUAAGGGUCUGACCUAUCCCUGGAGGAAGCACGGGCUAAGUUCGUGCCAGCAGCCGC